Molecule: long non-coding RNA, 453 nt
Organism: Gallus gallus (chicken)
Lineage: Eukaryota; Metazoa; Chordata; Aves; Galliformes; Phasianidae
Exons: 3
Source: RefSeq, a predicted model, not a curated record
AGUGCACGGAAGCUUUUGGGCAUGAUUUAUCCUCACUAUACCUCACACUGGGUGGGAAAAGUUGGCACUGGAUCUCACAUAGCAGCUUGUAACAAAGCUCUUGCGCAAUAAAGAAGCAUUUCAACCGCUGCUUCUUGCAGCAGUACAGUGUUUCCAAAGAGAGAAAAACACCACUACUGGCAUAAACUGGAUUUCUGCUGUUGGUUGAGCAUGUGCAGUGGAAUUGCCAGGUCACAGCCUGAGCCAGUACGUGAGCACAUGAGUGCCUGGAGCUGGGGGAGCCUAGAUCCACCCUUCCUCUUUCUCCGUCCCAGCAGUGCUUCUGGGAGCGCGUACGCAGUCAGUCCGCAGGGGUCUCCUCAGCCCCCCCCCACGCCCCCCCAGGCCCGUCCCCCCCUUCUUCCAGCGAUCCAGAUUUCAAAGCGGAGAAGGCUGUGUUCCUCAGCUCACCCC